UAUAAUAUGCCUAGUACAGUGCUUGACACAA
This 31-nucleotide non-coding RNA is filed under the name Homo sapiens (human). Lineage: Eukaryota; Metazoa; Chordata; Mammalia; Primates; Hominidae. The record is from RNAcentral.